This 64-nucleotide transfer RNA is filed under the name Antricola mexicanus. Its description in RNAcentral is "tRNA-Pro". Lineage: Eukaryota; Metazoa; Arthropoda; Arachnida; Ixodida; Argasidae. The record is from RNAcentral.
CAGAAAAUAGUAUAAAUAGUUAUUAUUUAAAUUUUGGGGAUUUAAGAUGAGAAAUCUUUUCUGA